CCUACGGGGGGCUGCAGUGGGGAAUCUUCCGCAAUGGGCGAAAGCCUGACGGAGCAACGCCGCGUGAGUGAGGAAGGCCUUCGGGUCGUAAAACUCUGUCUUCAGGGAAGAAAAAAAUGACGGUACCUGAGGAGGAAGCCCCGGCUAACUACGUGCCAGCAGCCGCGGUAAAACGUAGGGGGCGAGCGUUGUCCGGAAUUACUGGGCGUAAAGGGCGCGUAGGCGGUUAUUUAAGUCAGAGGUGAAAACUACCGGCUCAACCGGUAGCCUGCCUUUGAAACUGGAUGACUUGAGGGCAGGAGAGGGGAGUGGAAUUCCCAGUGUAGCGGUGAAAUGCGUAGAUAUUGGGAGGAACACCAGUGGCGAAGGCGGCUCUCUGGCCUGUUUCUGACGCUGAGGCGCGAAAGCGUGGGGAGCAAACGGGAUUAGAUACCCCUGUAGUC
This 443-nucleotide ribosomal RNA is filed under the name uncultured Peptococcaceae bacterium. Its description in RNAcentral is "bacterial SSU rRNA". It matches the Rfam family "Bacterial small subunit ribosomal RNA", at positions 338 to 795 of the family's 1533-position model. Lineage: Bacteria; Bacillati; Bacillota; Clostridia; Eubacteriales; Peptococcaceae. The record is from RNAcentral.